This is a long non-coding RNA of Bactrocera dorsalis (oriental fruit fly), 3071 nucleotides long. RefSeq lists it as uncharacterized. The record is from RefSeq and is a predicted model, not a curated record. The transcript has 2 exons. NCBI's taxonomy places the organism in Eukaryota, Metazoa, Arthropoda, Insecta, Diptera, Tephritidae.
UUUUAAUAAAACAUCUAUUAACAACCGAAAAUAAUGCUUCAUUUAGUAACUGAAUCAUCGCCAAUGUCUAUUAACAUAUGGUUAAAAAAAAUCAAAUAAAAAGUGACACAUACAUUUCCAUAAGCUAUCGCCAACUUCCCUCACCGACUACUUUGAUUGCAACGGAAAUAGCAUCAGUCCAACAAUAAAACUUUAGCCUCUAACAGUAGUGCUAUGAAAUUUAGGGUGUGGAAAACGGGUGAAGACACUAUUUACAAAUCCAUUCAAAAACACUUGAAUACAUACGUAUACGCAAAAAAUAUACACAAUCAUAUUUACAAAGUUUAUGCGUCGUAUCCUUGAAUGAAAGGGGUGCGUCGCGCAAACAAAUGUCGUUAACAACGUCUUAUAUAGGUGCUACUAGACUUGUGAGCCGAAUGUCAUACCUACAUAUAUACAUAUGUAUACACAUACCUACAAAGUAACAUAGCGCGACUUUUGUUUGUGCCUACGGUUAUAAAUUUGAAUAUCCAACUGCAAAACGAAAUUCGCCCCUUUUGUGGUGCGCCUUCUCAACACUCGGGGCCAGACCUCCGAAAAACAAUUGACAUGCGUUUGGCUUAUUGCUUUUUUUUGGCUUUGGCCACUUAUAAAUGGUCGUUUGUCACGUUGGCUGUUGAGAGCUACUCAUGGCUUAGCAAUUCUAUUAUUACCGUCUCAAUUACUUUAUUUAUUUUACAAAUUCGGUGCUAUUAUGCAUAGUAUACAUAUGUACAUAUAUGUAUGUAUGUAUAUAUGUAUUCAUAUAUAAAUGUGUUUGUUCAUAUGCACAAGAUUACAGGUGCUUUCUUGUAGAUAAACCAAUAGUAAAAGAAUUUCCUGGCUAUUCAAAUAACGUGAUUUUGGGCAAUUCAUGGAGUUUAUACAAUAAUUAAGAAUGAGAUUAUAUGCGGAAUAGGAACAAUUACGUAUACUAUAAUUGUACUUAUGAUUUUGGUGUGGAUAUUUCAACAUAUCAACAUUGUAUAAAAGUGAACAAAUAAAAUGAUACUAAUUUACAUCAAAUAUUAAGAAAAAAAAAUAUAAAUAUAGCAUAUAUGCAUUCCUUAAGCGACUCCAACAGGGCAUUCUGAAUUAAUAUCUUCGUAAAACUAUUGGAAAGCCAUAAUAUAGCCUAAUUGUUUUAUUUAAUUCUCAAAACUACACAUUAAGUCUAUAACUUACCAAAUAAUAAAGUACUAACUUCACAUACGGCUUUUUUUGAAAAGUAAAUAUUAUGUUUGUUUGGUAAUAUGCACACACCUGUUUGUGUUAUUUAUUUCACUGCACUUUAUCAUAAACAAACUAGUAAUGCGAAAUGGUCAAGGUCUGCAUACAUACAUACUAUGUACAUAUAUGCAACACAUUUGUUAUCAAUAGACGCGUAUUAAAGAUACAGUGUUAAGUUGUACCAUAAUUUGUGUAUUUUGUUAUCGGUACUAAACCCAAAUAAAUCGUAUGAUUAGAUAAAUACUUAUAAACUCAUCAUCUGAUUUCUUUAAAAUGCACAUUACCAACACACACACGACUUACUGUUAUAAACGCCCUGAUGCCAUUUCAAAAUUCUAAGCUAAGAGCAGGGUGUUUAGCAGGGUGGUGCCCUCUCCCCUCCACUGUUUAACUUCUAUAUCUCGAAAUAACCCCAGUCACCAGAAGAAAUUUCCAUCACCUCAUACGCAGAGGCUUGUACGAUAUUGACGUCGGGCUCCUAAUACUUGGCGACCAUAUUCACGACCGGAAUAAAGGAGUCUGUACUCCUGUACUGGAUCUUAAUAUUGCAGUCAAUGACAUUAAAAUUCCUACUGUUAACAACCCUAAAAUUUUACAGAUAACAAUCGAAAGCCUGCACUAUUUCACUCCACACACGACCGCGAUUAUUGCCAAAGUACCAGUAAAGAUAAAGAAAAUUUAUAGAUUCCGAGCGUAUGGUCAAAAAACAGGCAGAGCCACUUGAAUAUAGUGGUAUGUCGAUGAAGAAGAUUAAGACGUGCCAGAACACUGCACUCUACAAUAAUAUUUUCCUCUUGAUGUCUUACAAAUUAUUAAAUUUCAAUAAAUCGCCCUACUUUACCAUCACAAAACUCCUCCUUCUACAAUUAAUUCAUUCAAUUCUCCCUCUAUUCGUUUUUCAAUACAAAAAUUCUCGCUGUUCGCCGCGGCGUAGACCAAACACUUCAAAUAAAUCAUUCCAAGACAUUUAUAUUAACGCAACAACAACACUUUUUAUAUGCUAUGCCAAAGACGCUGCGCUAAAGUACUUAACUGAGAACGAAUGCCCUAGCAUGAUACGCUCGGUUGAGUAUGACCCGCUAAGAGACAGUGGUGAGCACAAUGAAAGCAUUUGAAUGAAAAGAUCAGCAGUGAUCGAGUGAGUGAGUGUGGUUAAUGAAAGCAAAGCCAAAAGCGGCAUCAAUUGUACAACAAACAACUGUAACAAGUAGCAGCGCGCACGCCAAACGACUUAACAGCAACAGCUGCGACUGCGUCCCAAGCGGUACACUUGACCACAAAGCCAAUUGGGGAGCGACGCUGGCUUCACACGCUGAUGACUAUGUGGCGUCGCACGCCGGCAAUGUGUUGGAGCAUUGGAACGCUUUGAAAAUAAAAUGUACAUUUAGUAAACGCGCGACGGCUUGCGUGUACGUUUGGCAAGUUUCGAGAGUUGUUGCUAGCGGAUUGUUUGCGUUUUUGCCAUUUGCCGGUCUCACAUGCGGGCAACGACGACGCUGGUCUAUAUGACUGUAGUGUGUAUAGUGUGUAAUAUGCUUAUGAAGUGAAAUAACAAUAACAAAAAGAAUUAAUCCGGCACAUGUUCAAUUUAGUUAAUGAUGCCAUUCUCAAAAUUUUAAAGAAAAAAAAUAUUAAUGUGUAGCACUCGUGUUGCGUAAAGCGUAUUCAAUAUUCUGAAUUAGACUUUGCUGUUGAUGAUGAUGGCUAUAUGGGUGGCGAUGAUACCUACAAUGAUGCACAAUGUGUUGCUCUUGAAAAUGACAAAGUGUCUGCAGCUGUGAUGGUGCUAUUGUGACCGACAAUCGAUGUGGUGACGCGAGUGU